GCGCGCGCAGGCGGUCCUUUAAGUCUGAUGUGAAAGCCCACGGCUCAACCGUGGAGGGUCAUUGGAAACUGGGGGACUUGAGUGCAGAAGAGAAGAGUGGAAUUCCACGUGUAGCGGUGAAAUGCGUAGAGAUGUGGAGGAACACCAGUGGCGAAGGCGACUCUUUGGUCUGUAACUGACGCUGAGGCGCGAAAGCGUGGGGAGCAAACAGGAUUAGAUACCCUGGUAGUCCACGCCGUAAACGAUGAGUGCUAAGUGUUAGAGGGUUUCCGCCCUUUAGUGCUGCAGCAAACGCAUUAAGCACUCCGCCUGGGGAGUACGGCCGCAAGGCUGAAACUCAAAGGAAUUGACGGGGGCCCGCA
RNAcentral lists this ribosomal RNA (362 nucleotides) under uncultured bacterium. Its description in RNAcentral is "bacterial SSU rRNA". It matches the Rfam family "Bacterial small subunit ribosomal RNA", at positions 565 to 925 of the family's 1533-position model. The record is from RNAcentral.